ACGGGCUUCCUUCGACAGAGCAA
RNAcentral lists this microRNA (23 nucleotides) under Daphnia magna. RNAcentral describes it as "Dma-Novel-7_3p (mature (co-guide))". The record is from RNAcentral. Lineage: Eukaryota; Metazoa; Arthropoda; Branchiopoda; Diplostraca; Daphniidae.